Molecule: ribosomal RNA, 98 nt
Filed under: Heyndrickxia shackletonii
Lineage: Bacteria; Bacillati; Bacillota; Bacilli; Caryophanales; Bacillaceae
Description: partial 16S ribosomal RNA
Rfam family: Bacterial small subunit ribosomal RNA
Source: RNAcentral
UUUUUGGAGAGUUUGAUCCUGGCUCAGGACGAACGCUGGCGGCGUGCCUAAUACAUGCAAGUCGAGCGGACUUUUAAAAGCUUGCUUUUAAAAGUUAG